AAUAUGGUUCAAAUGCAAACACGAUGAUUCAUCCACCAUUGUUGUCCACAACCACCACCACCUCCACCUCCAAAACAUCAGCUUCUUCCCACUCUAUUCCGAAUAUUUGUCGUAAUUACACUUCUCAAAUACAAUGGAGGUCUAUGGAGCUUCUGCUUUGGCUUCGAUUAGCUCAAUUUCUCCAUCUCUUCACUCUUCUCAUCAACCUACUUCGGUACCGUCUCCUUAUUUAUCGCGAUUUGUGUUUUACGUUGUUGAAAUUGAUGUUUUUGGGUUAAUUUGUUUGUUUUUCARGUGUGUGGAUUYAGAAGAKUUAGGGUUUGGUGUGUUAAAACCGACGUCAAUGGCUCUUCUCAAUCUCUUAAGCAAAUUAGAGGAGGUUGUGAAGAACAAGAACAAGUCUCUUCAACCAUACGAGUAAAGGUUUAGGUCAAGCAUGGGAACAAUACUACUGAUAUACUUCACUCUCUCCAUGGCCAGGCACAAUGAAGACGACAAUUUUCUCGAUGCAUAGUGAAUAAGGAAAAACAACUCCGUAAAACUACAAUACACAAGUUGCGAAUCUAACAUACCUUGCUUUAAUGGUGUUUGCAUGCUCUGCAAAUUUCUCCUUUAUUUUUCCUU
Molecule: long non-coding RNA, 624 nt
Organism: Cynara cardunculus var. scolymus (artichoke)
Lineage: Eukaryota; Viridiplantae; Streptophyta; Magnoliopsida; Asterales; Asteraceae
Exons: 3
Source: RefSeq, a predicted model, not a curated record